UAGGGAAUCUUCCACAAUGGACGCAAGUCUGAUGAAGCAACGCCGCGUGAGUGAAGAAGGUUUUCGGAUCGUAAAGCUCUGUUGUUGGUGAAGAAGGAUAGAGGCAGUAACUGGUCUUUAUUUGACGGUAAUCAACCAGAAGGUCACGGCUAACUACGUGCCAGCAGCCGCGGUAAUACGUAGGUGGCAAGCGUUGUCCGGAUUUAUUGGGCGUAAAGCGAGCGCAGGCGGAAUGAUAAGUCUGAUGUGAAAGCCCACGGCUCAACCGUGGAACUGCAUCGGAAACUGUCAUUCUUGAGUGCAGAAGAGGAGAGUGGAAUUCCAUGUGUAGCGGUGGAAUGCGUAGAUAUAUGGAAGAACACCAGUGGCGAAGGCGGCUCUCUGGUCUGCAACUGACGCUGAGGCUCGAAAGCAUGGGUAGCGAACAGG
This 429-nucleotide ribosomal RNA is filed under the name bacterium. RNAcentral describes it as "partial 16S ribosomal RNA". It matches the Rfam family "Bacterial small subunit ribosomal RNA", at positions 355 to 776 of the family's 1533-position model. The record is from RNAcentral.